RNAcentral lists this ribosomal RNA (440 nucleotides) under uncultured bacterium. RNAcentral's name for it is "partial 16S ribosomal RNA". It matches the Rfam family "Bacterial small subunit ribosomal RNA", at positions 338 to 795 of the family's 1533-position model. The record is from RNAcentral.
CCUACGGGAGGCAGCAGUGGGGAAUCUUGCACAAUGGGGGAAACCCUGAUGCAGCGACGCCGCGUGAAGGAAGAAGUAUUUCGGUAUGUAAACUUCUAUCAGCAGGGAAGAAAAUGACGGUACCUGACUAAGAAGCCCCGGCUAACUACGUGCCAGCAGCCGCGGUAAUACGUAGGGGGCAAGCGUUAUCCGGAUUUACUGGGUGUAAAGGGAGCGUAGGCGGUUUAGCAAGUCAGAAGUGAAAGCCCGGGGCUCAACUCCGGGACUGCUUUUGAAACUGUUGAACUAGAGUGCAGGAGAGGUAAGUGGAAUUCCUAGUGUAGCGGUGAAAUGCGUAGAUAUUAGGAGGAACACCAGUGGCGAAGGCGGCUUACUGGACUGUAAAUGACGCUGAGGCUCGAAAGCGUGGGGAGCAAACAGGAUUAGAUACCCCAGUAGUC